This 73-nucleotide transfer RNA is filed under the name Candidatus Pantoea edessiphila. It matches the Rfam family "tRNA". From Rfam's summary of the family: Transfer RNA (tRNA) molecules are approximately 80 nucleotides in length. Their secondary structure includes four short double-helical elements and three loops (D, anti-codon, and T loops). The record is from Rfam by way of RNAcentral. Lineage: Bacteria; Pseudomonadati; Pseudomonadota; Gammaproteobacteria; Enterobacterales; Erwiniaceae.
GGGGCUAUAGCUCAGUUGGUAGAGUAUUUACAUGGCAUGUAAAUGGUCAGCGGUUCAAGUCCGCUUAGCUCCA